Molecule: ribosomal RNA, 451 nt
Filed under: uncultured bacterium
Lineage: Bacteria
Description: partial 16S ribosomal RNA
Rfam family: Bacterial small subunit ribosomal RNA
Source: RNAcentral
GUGGGGAAUAUUGGACAAUGGGGGGAACCCUGAUCCAGCCAUGCCGCGUGUGUGAAGAAGGCCUUUUGGUUGUAAAGCACUUUAAGCGAGGAGGAGGCUACCGAGAUUAAUACUCUUGGAUAGUGGACGUUACUCGCAGAAUAAGCACCGGCUAACUCUGUGCCAGCAGCCGCGGUAAUACAGAGGGUGCAAGCGUUAAUCGGAUUUACUGGGCAUAAAGCGCGCGUAGGUGGCCAAUUAAGUCAAAUGUGAAAUCCACGAGCUUAACUUGGGAAUUGCAUUCGAUACUGGUUGGCUAGAGUAUGGGAGAGGAUGGUAGAAUUCCAGGUGUAGCGGUGAAAUGCGUAGAGAUCUGGAGGAAUACCGAUGGCGAAGGCAGCCAUCUGGCCUAAUACUGACACUGAGGUGCGAAAGCAUGGGGAGCAAACAGGAUUAGAUACCCCGGUAGUCC